This 1191-nucleotide ribosomal RNA is filed under the name Triticum aestivum (bread wheat). Its description in RNAcentral is "partial small subunit ribosomal RNA". Lineage: Eukaryota; Viridiplantae; Streptophyta; Magnoliopsida; Poales; Poaceae. The record is from RNAcentral.
AUGGGGUACCCAGUAACCAAACGUUCCCGUCCAGGGCCAGAUCUAUACAUGGGUUACCACUUACCACGACGACCAUCAAGAGCAUGUUGCAGAGUGAGGCGCAUGCUAAUAAUCAAACUUGUGUGCGGUAAAUUAUUGUACCGAUGCCACUUAUGGUGGAUGCAGAAUAUGUGUUACAUGUACAUCUUAUUUAGACACUUUUGCAAUGCAAAGGUCCACCAAAUACUGGCAUCGCAUGCAGGAGCAUGUGAGCAGAUAGGUGUCACCGUAGCCGUGCUUCUGCACCGAGCUGUCGUGGUGGACGCCGUCGUACCCUCCCGCUGCAGCGCCAUGCUGGUACUGCUCGCCGCCGUAGCCGUGCUUCUUCACGACGCCGUAGCUGUCGUGGUGGAGGGCGGCGGCGGCGCUCCCAUGCUCGUACGCCUUGUGCUCGCCGUAGCCGGGCUUCUGGACCGUGCAGUCCACGUACGCCUUCUGCUCGCCGUAGCCGUGCGCCUUCUCGCCGUAGCCAUGCUUCUGGACCUUGCUGUCCUGGUGGAGAGCGGUGUACCCCUUGAGAUUGCCUUCAUGCUGGUACGCCGUAUGCUCGCCGCCGUAGCCGCUCUUCUGGACCUUGCUGUCCUGGUGGUGACCACCGUACGCCUUCUGCUCGCCGUAGCCAUGCUUCUGCGCCGAGCUGUCAUGGUGGGCCUCAGCCCCAUAAUGCUGGUAAGCCUUCUGCUCACCGUAGCCAUGCUUCUGCGUGGCGCCUGUGCUGUCGUGGCUGGCAGCGUCGUAGCCUCCAUGCUGGUACGACGACGCCUUCUGCCCACCGUAGCCGCCGUGCUUCUGCACGGAGCUUUCGUGGUGGUGAGCGCUGUACCCUCCGGCGCCGCUCUCAUGCUGGUACGACGACACCUUUUGCUCGCCGUAGCCUCCGACGUCGCUCCCGUACGCCUGCUGCCCGUAGCCGUGCUUCUGCACUUCGGCGUCCUCGCUGCACAGCUCCGUGAGGGAGGCCGUCUUGUACCCCGCCUGCUUCUCGUUGAGGCUCAUGUGGCUGAUCUCCGUCACGACGGUGGUCACCGAGUCGGAGUUGUGGGUGUGGUAGCUUAUCACGGGCUUGCUCUGGCCGUAGCCGCCGCCGAAGCCCAAAGCACGCUUGACGAUGGACAUGGCUGCUUGCUUUCUUGCUCUGACUACUACGGCUAG